RNAcentral lists this ribosomal RNA (459 nucleotides) under uncultured bacterium. Its description in RNAcentral is "partial 16S ribosomal RNA". It matches the Rfam family "Bacterial small subunit ribosomal RNA", at positions 338 to 795 of the family's 1533-position model. The record is from RNAcentral.
CCUACGGGUGACAGCAGUGAGGAAUAUUGGUCAAUGGCCGAGAGGCUGAACCAGCCAAGUCGCGUGAGGGAUGACGGACCUACGGGUUGUAAACCUCUUUUGUCGGGGAGCAAAGAGAGUCUCGUGUGGCUCAUUGAGAGUACCCGAAGAAACAGCAUCGGCUAACUCCGUGCCAGCAGCCGCGGUAAUACGGAGGAUGCGAUCGUUAUCCGGAUUUAUUGGGUGUAAAGGGUGCGCAGGCGGAGGUGCAAGUCUGUGGUCAAAUUGCGGGGCUCAACCCCGUACUGCCGUUGAAACUGCAUCCCUUGAGUGCGCGAGAAGUAUGCGGAAUGCGUGGUGUAGCGGUGAAAUGCAUAGAUAUCACGCAGAACUCCGAUUGCGAAGGCAGCAUACCGGCGCGCAACUGACGCUCAUGCACGAAAGCGGGGGUAUCGAACAGGAUUAGAUACCCCUGUAGUC